Molecule: long non-coding RNA, 497 nt
Organism: Sinocyclocheilus grahami
Lineage: Eukaryota; Metazoa; Chordata; Actinopteri; Cypriniformes; Cyprinidae
Exons: 3
Source: RefSeq, a predicted model, not a curated record
GUUAAUUGCAUUAUUAUUUUCUUCUCCAGCUCCACCAGAUGUUCAUGUGUUUGUGAAGAAAGCUCCUGAUGAUCAAAGCAAGCUGGUUCUGAGCUGUCUGGCCACUGGUUUCUACCCCAGAGAUAUUGAGAUGAACAUCAGAUCGGACGAAACUGUUCUUGAGAACCAAACAUCAUCUGGAAUCAGACCAAAUGCUGAUGAAACCUUUCAGAUGAGAUCCAGUGUGGAGACUGAUGCAAAUCACAAAGGAUCUUAUGACUGUCUGGUCGUUCACAGCAGUCUGACUCAGACACGACCGGUUUUAACAGUGUGGACUAUAUAUCAACAAACAUUUAGUGCAGAAUCUUUAUGGUCUGUUAUAGCAGGAAUAGCAGCAGCUGUAGUUAUAUUUCUCCCUGUGAUUGGUUGCUGCAUCUACCAUUAGAAAAUCUCAAAUGCUCAGAUGAGAAGUUACCCAAAUAAGUUGGAGUGAUUGUACAGAUCCUCAGUCCAGCGAG